UCACAGGAAGAAUCUCAAAUAUGGGAGGAAGUGAACAUACCUUGGUUGUCUUAGGAGGGAAAAAAAAAGAGUCAGAGUCACAGUGUCACAAUGAUUAAAGAAAAAGUUGGGGCUGGCAGCAGCCGACACCCUUUCUAUUGGUGAAAGACUUCUGUAGAGAAUGUGGCCAAAGAGACACCUAGGCUCAUAAAGGCCAGAAUUCUGACUCCAUGUUCUAUGAGGUCACAAGAGCUAAUUCUCCAGCAUAGCUGAAAGUUCCAAUGUCAAGUUCUCUGGGGACACAGAAUACUAGAGUGCUGCAGACAUGGAGCUCUGCCCUUCCUCCAGCCCCAGCCUGCGCACCUUAGCUCUGGCUGCCCCUUCUGUGCAUCAGCUGGAAUUCCCCAGGAGGUAGAGGAGGUUUUGCACAGGGGAAGGCCGUCAAUCACCGGAACUGGGAGGGUAGGACCGUGCUGAGAGGGGAACCCAAGUUCUCAUUCAGGGUGGAGCAACAGCUAAGUCCUGACCAACCUGAGGCAGGCUCGACCUGAUGAAGGGACAGCUCAUCGGGAUCCCUUGUAGUAGCUGGCUCCCCUACAGUCUGGAAUGCCUCAGGGCCAACGUGGGAUCAAGCAGGAAAAGGAAACUGCUGGAUUAACUGUGCCAAACUCAAAUCACUAUGUUCAGUGAAUUACAAGGAGCCAAAGGAAAUGAUGAGGGUAGAUAAGAGACUAAGGUGAACCAAAUGUCCCUAGAGGCUCUAACUGCUGUAUGCGCUUGAUCCCACCAUCCUACUAUCCCUUGUGCCAUAGGUGAGCAUGUGACGAGCGACUACUUGGAGCCAAACAUUUAUGUCCUCCUGAGUCAACUUGUGAAGCUACACACAUGAGACAGUGUGGGUAUGCUGCAUAAUCAGGUUCUUCCUUGAAGACCACUCAUCUCGCUGGUUGAUUCUUGAUGAGGCAGGUGGCAGGAGCUUGGCUUGUUUGAACCCUUCAGGGUCAGAAGUGGAGCAAGAAGACUAGGUUCUCAGAUACUGAGCUAUAAUCACCAACGUUCCUGCAACCUGCUAUUGAUUUCCAAGGUACAUCACUGGCCACAGGCCCCUCCACACAAUAUGAAUGUCCUUUAGCAAUGUGACCCUUGGCACACUGGCCAACUCAAAGGAGCAGCUGCCAUUUCUGCACUUCUAAAACAAGACUGGCUGCGUUAUGGUGAAGGCAUAUGAUGCCUUAUCUGCCCCAGAUCUUGGUGUUGAACUUCUAAAGUCCUGGGACUAAGUGAUGGGCUAUCUCCUAGCCAGGGUUCCUUGGGCUGCCUGUUAGCCAGGGUUCCUUUAACCACAUUUCCAUUCUGCUAAUGGGAUUGGGAUGGGGCCUGGUCAGACCUGGUUGGAAGGUGUGGGCUCUGAGCUCAAACCAAGAAGACUAACAAAAGUUGUGCUCCCUGGUUGGUGAGUAUGUGUCAGGAGGGUGGAUGCCAGGUUCCAUGGGGGCAAUAGGGACAAUGGGGACGUGGGGAAAGGGUGCACACAAGCUUCACAGGUGGGACUGCCCAGAUCUCGCCUUAUGAGCCUCACUUUUUGUCCUUUAUAAUACGACUGCAGUUGUCUGAACAGGACCCUUCUUGAGAUCUUCUGAGUUCUAGUAAGUUAUCAAACAGGAUGGGGGGUUUGUGGGGACUCCCAAAUUUAUAGCUAGUAUAAAUAGCUUACUGUCUUCUCCUCCUUCAUGACUACCACCUAGAGUGUGGCCAGUGUUCUCAGGAAAUGUGUGUAUGUGUGUGUGUG
RNAcentral lists this small RNA (1768 nucleotides) under Rattus norvegicus (Norway rat). RNAcentral describes it as "uncharacterized LOC102547456". The record is from RNAcentral. Lineage: Eukaryota; Metazoa; Chordata; Mammalia; Rodentia; Muridae.